UGAGCAGGUAGCCAUGAUGGUCCCCAUAGCU
This 31-nucleotide non-coding RNA is filed under the name Rattus norvegicus (Norway rat). Lineage: Eukaryota; Metazoa; Chordata; Mammalia; Rodentia; Muridae. The record is from RNAcentral.